This 468-nucleotide ribosomal RNA is filed under the name uncultured bacterium. RNAcentral describes it as "partial 16S ribosomal RNA". It matches the Rfam family "Bacterial small subunit ribosomal RNA", at positions 28 to 507 of the family's 1533-position model. The record is from RNAcentral.
GACGAACGCUGGCGGCGUGCUUAGCACAUGCAAGUCGAACGGAAAGGCCCUGCUCUUGUGGGGUGCUCGAUUGGCGAACGCGUGAGUAACACGUGAGUAACCUGCCCUUGACUUUGGGAUAACUUCAGGAAACUGGGGCUAAUACCGGAUAGGAUCUCCUGCUGCACGGUGGGGGUUGGAAAGUUUCGGCGGUAGGGGAUGGACUCGCGGGUUAUCAGCUUGUUGGUGGGGUAGUGGCUUACCAAGGCUUUGACGGGUAGCCGGCCUGGGAGGGUAACCGGCCACAAUGCGACUGAGAUAGGGAGCAGUCGCGUACCGGCGGCAACAGGCGGAAGUAUUGCGGAGUAAGCGGGAGCCAGAGACGGCGACGCCGCGUGCGUGAUGACGGCCUUCUAGGUAUAAACCGCUUUGGACUGUGACGAGGAGUGCGUGACGGUAACGAGUAAGGAAGCACCGGCUAACUACGUG